This 437-nucleotide long non-coding RNA is filed under the name Panax ginseng (ginseng). RNAcentral describes it as "long non-coding RNA (PGIN_LNC012783)". Lineage: Eukaryota; Viridiplantae; Streptophyta; Magnoliopsida; Apiales; Araliaceae. The record is from RNAcentral.
UCACAUGCAAAUUGUUCUUAUGCUCUACAAAUUUCAUUUCUAUAUUAAGUGUGGACCUAUUCAUGGUUCAAACAAUGAAUACCUCAUGUUCUUAUGUUAUUAAUUAGCUCUAAUUAUUUGCUUUUUAUUCUCCAAUUAAAGUAAAAGGAGAGACAAAGUUGUUGCUUUCUACUUUUUCAUCCUCAAUAACAUUCAAGACAAGAACAACCUAACACAUAAUUAUAUUUUGUAGAAUGGAUACCCCAUUCAAGGCUAGAAUGCAUUCCCGUUAUGGUCAUUGGGAUGCUUUUUCAAUAGUAGUACUUUUUCUUUUAACGUUUCGUUCCGAAUUAGUUUCCUACAACAAUGAGAGCAUAACAACAAUUACUCUAGGUAUGACCACUAAUGCUGCUUACAUAGAACCACCUCAAGAAGUUCCCAAAUGGCAUGGUCCAUCC